This 367-nucleotide ribosomal RNA is filed under the name Aeromonas salmonicida subsp. salmonicida. Its description in RNAcentral is "bacterial LSU rRNA". It matches the Rfam family "Bacterial large subunit ribosomal RNA", at positions 2586 to 2925 of the family's 2925-position model. The record is from RNAcentral. Lineage: Bacteria; Pseudomonadati; Pseudomonadota; Gammaproteobacteria; Aeromonadales; Aeromonadaceae.
AUUUAAAGUGGUACGCGAGCUGGGUUCAGAACGUCGUGAGACAGUUCGGUCCCUAUCUGCCGUGGGCGUUGGAUGAUUGAAGGGAGUUGCUCCUAGUACGAGAGGACCGGAGUGAACGAACCUCUGGUGUUCGGGUUGUCACGCCAGUGGCACUGCCCGGUAGCUAAGUUCGGAAUCGAUAACCGCUGAAAGCAUCUAAGCGGGAAGCGAGCCCUGAGAUGAGUCAUCCCUGACCCCUUGAGGGUCCUAAAGGGCCGUUGGAGACCACAACGUUGAUAGGUGGGGUGUGUAAGUGCAGUGAUGUGUUGAGCUAACCCAUACUAAUUACCCGUGAGGCUUAACCAUACAACACCCAAGAAGUGUUCUG